GGGGAUUUAGUUCAGUGGUAGAGCACUUGCCUAGGAAGCGCAAGGCCCUGGGUUCGAUCCCCAGCUCCA
This 69-nucleotide transfer RNA is filed under the name Rattus norvegicus (Norway rat). It matches the Rfam family "tRNA". From Rfam's summary of the family: Transfer RNA (tRNA) molecules are approximately 80 nucleotides in length. Their secondary structure includes four short double-helical elements and three loops (D, anti-codon, and T loops). Further hydrogen bonds mediate the characteristic L-shaped molecular structure. tRNAs have two regions of fundamental functional importance: the anti-codon, which is responsible for specific mRNA codon recognition, and the 3' end, to which the tRNAs corresponding amino acid is attached (by aminoacyl-tRNA synthetases). tRNAs cope with the degeneracy of the genetic code in two manners: having more than one tRNA (with a specific anti-codon) for a particular amino acid; and 'wobble' base-pairing, i.e. permitting non-standard base-pairing at the 3rd anti-codon position. Lineage: Eukaryota; Metazoa; Chordata; Mammalia; Rodentia; Muridae. The record is from Rfam by way of RNAcentral.